Molecule: long non-coding RNA, 140 nt
Organism: Etheostoma spectabile (orangethroat darter)
Lineage: Eukaryota; Metazoa; Chordata; Actinopteri; Perciformes; Percidae
Exons: 4
Source: RefSeq, a predicted model, not a curated record
GUAGUUUCGCUAGCAGCUAGGCUAGCUUUAGACACUGCCACAUCAGUGGCUAUGGCUUUUGGAUUUGUCUCAGUGUGACCUUGCUCCUGUCUGUGUGGACAACUGCAAAAUGUGAUAUUCCCAGUGAAGGUCUCCGUAUG